GAUGAACGCUGGCGGCGUGCCUAAUACAUGCAAGUCGAGCGAACGGACGAGAAGCUUGCUUCUCUGAUGUUAGCGGCGGACGGGUGAGUAACACGUGGAUAACCUACCUAUAAGACUGGGAUAACUUCGGGAAACCGUAGCUAAUACCGGAUAAUAUUUUGAACCGCAUGGUUCAAAAGUGAAAGACGGUCUUGCUGUCACUUAUAGAUGGAUCCGCGCUGCAUUAGCUAGUUGGUAAGGUAACGGCUUACCAAGGCAACGAUGCAUAGCCGACCUGAGAGGGGGAUCGGCCACAUUGGAACUGAGACACGGUCCAGACUCCUACGGGAGGCAGCAGUAGGGAAUCGUACGCAAUGGGCGAAAGCCUGACGGAGCAACGCCGCGUGAGUGAUGAAGGUCUUCGGAUCGUAAAACUCUGUUAUUAGGGAAGAACAUAUGUGGAAGUAACUGUGCACAUCUUGACGGUACCUAAUCAGAAAGCCACGGCUAACUACGUG
Molecule: ribosomal RNA, 497 nt
Filed under: uncultured bacterium
Lineage: Bacteria
Description: partial 16S ribosomal RNA
Rfam family: Bacterial small subunit ribosomal RNA
Source: RNAcentral